UACGUAGGGGGCAAGCGUUGUCCGGAAUCAUUGGGCGUAAAGAGCGUGUAGGCGGCCAGAAAAGUCCGCUGUGAAAACUCGAGGCUCAACUUCGAGCUGUCGGUGGAAACUUUCUGGCUAGAGUCCGGAAGAGGAGAAUGGAAUUCCUGGUGUAGCGGUGAAAUGCGCAGAUAUCGGGAGGAACACCGGUGGCGAAGGCGGUUCUCUGGGCCUGUACUGACGCUGAGGAGCGAAAGCGUGGGGAGCGAACAGG
Molecule: ribosomal RNA, 253 nt
Filed under: uncultured bacterium
Lineage: Bacteria
Description: partial 16S ribosomal RNA
Rfam family: Bacterial small subunit ribosomal RNA
Source: RNAcentral